GGCCAGGUGGUCAAGUGGUAAGACACCCGUGCUAAAUACUGUAUUCGUCCUAAGCUCGACGCGGGAGGAUCAGGUUCGAAUCCCGACCUGGCUA
This 94-nucleotide transfer RNA is filed under the name Marasmius sp. AFHP31. RNAcentral describes it as "tRNA-Phe". It matches the Rfam family "tRNA". From Rfam's summary of the family: Transfer RNA (tRNA) molecules are approximately 80 nucleotides in length. Their secondary structure includes four short double-helical elements and three loops (D, anti-codon, and T loops). Lineage: Eukaryota; Fungi; Basidiomycota; Agaricomycetes; Agaricales; Marasmiaceae. The record is from RNAcentral.